AUGUUUGACGGAGUUGAGCGGAUGCUUCGGGGAGUUAGGCAUGUGUCGGGGCUAAGAAGGAAUCUAAUUUCGCUUGGAGUUCUUCAUGAUGGUGGUAUGGUAUUCCGUUGUGAUCAGGAUAAAAAGAACAUGAGAAUCAUGGAAGAUGAGGUGACUGUGAUGAUUGGAAGGAGGACGGCUUUGCAUCUUUACAAGUUGUAA
RNAcentral lists this ribosomal RNA (201 nucleotides) under Triticum aestivum (bread wheat). RNAcentral's name for it is "partial small subunit ribosomal RNA". Lineage: Eukaryota; Viridiplantae; Streptophyta; Magnoliopsida; Poales; Poaceae. The record is from RNAcentral.